CCGAGUUUACAAACUCCCAAACCCCGUGUGAACCUACCUCUCAGUUGCUUCGGCGGUGCUGCCCCGGGCGCGGGCCUCUUGGUAGGCUGUCAGCCCCGGACCCAGGCGCCCGCCGGGGGACCCUAAACUCCUCUGUAUUUGUCUAGCGGCUUCUUCUGAGACGUGCCGUCGGGCACUGAAAAACGAAAUGAAUCA
This 195-nucleotide unclassified non-coding RNA is filed under the name uncultured Hypocreaceae. Its description in RNAcentral is "sequence contains ITS1". Lineage: Eukaryota; Fungi; Ascomycota; Sordariomycetes; Hypocreales. The record is from RNAcentral.